This is a long non-coding RNA of Episyrphus balteatus (marmalade hoverfly), 904 nucleotides long. RefSeq lists it as uncharacterized. The record is from RefSeq and is a predicted model, not a curated record. Lineage: Eukaryota; Metazoa; Arthropoda; Insecta; Diptera; Syrphidae. The transcript has 3 exons.
GGGACUGCGUUGGCAUUUCCACGCAAUCAGCAGCGCGACAACUGACAUUUUGGAUCCAUAUCGCUUGGCUGCUAUAUUUUUUGUACAUUGGAUUUGUUGUUGUUGUUGGUUUCUUGGUAUAUUGUGGUUGUGAAUAGUUUGUAUAGUUGGAUGUGUUUUUUUUUGUUAUUUUACGCUGACACACGCGACUGACACAGAUUACCCAGUGACAGCGACGACGACGACUUUGAUGGUGGUGGGCGCUGGGGCGUAAAAAACUAUACUAGCACGACGACGAAUACGUCGACGACAAAUGAUAUUGAUGUGAAGGUGAGGCGGCAAGCCAGCCGCAAUGCCUAAUAGCAGCAGGCGUGCUAGAAGCUCUACCGCGCCAUCACACUGCUUGGAUGAUAUUGAGUCAGAAGAACGAGCGGUGAUAGCCGUCUCUCUAGAGCUGGUUGGGUUGGUCGGGCGACUAAGUAUGUCGGAGUCGGUGUAUAGCAGCAGCAGCAGUUCGGGUGAAUCAGACUGACCAGCUGAUGAUGAUGAUGUCGGUCGGUUCGCUACAAUAUUGUGCUGCGCUGUGCUUUUUUCAUGCUUAUAUAUGUGGUGCUAGUGCCCGUCCCGCGCUCGUCACUUCAUCAAAAGAGACAGUUUAGGGGUUAAAUCAAAGAUGAAUUUCUCAAACUUUAUUAUAUUUGCAAUUUUUGGAGUCAUCCUCGUUUUUGUUAAGAACAUUGAUGCUACUAGGAUCUCACAGCAAGAAGCUAGUGAUGCAGUUGAUUUCGGUUUGGGAAUAGCUCAACAAGCUAUAAGUGGAGCAGGCCAAAUAGCCCAAGAAGCAAUUAAUGAGUAUGGAAAUGGAAAACGACAAUAACAAAUUCAUUCAAUAAUAUCAACAACUGAUGAAAAUAGAUUAAUAAAA